UUAUUAGUUUUUACUACAAGGUUUUGUGAAUUUGAUUAUGGUUCAGGUUUGGUUAAAAUAAUGUUAUCUAGUCGUGAUUCAUGUAGUGGGCAAUAUUUAUUGACCUUGGUAAAUUAGCAUUUGUAUAUUAUCUGUUCCAGAAUAAUCGGCUAGGCGGGUUAAAUUAGAACUCUAAUUGUGUUUAUGCUAGAUUUUUAUUGUGUGAGCUUUAGUAUUCUAGGGUGAAAUUUGGAAUUCUAUUGGUAAGAAGUCUAGUUUGUAAGAUUUUUUGUAUGAACCAGAUUAGUACCUGGGUAAGGAAAAUUAAAUAUAGCAGGAGUAAAGUGAUGUUUAAACUGAAAUAAUAUUGGCAGGUUUUUAAAUUAUCUUUGGAGGUUGGAUUGUAAUUGAGAGCCCUCAUUUACGGCUUUGGUUUUUGUUUUAUGUAUGAUCGUUUAUUUUAUUCUUAAGGAUUGUAAUUUUAAGUUUUUAAUUAUAAAAACAGAUAUUUACCUAGUUUAUGCCGGAGUAAUUCUGACCUACAAUAUGGUGAGAUGUGGAAUAAAGGAUUAGUUUGUUUUAUGAAAAUGUAAAAGACAGUAAACUGGUUUUUAUGUCUAGUUGAAGAUUAUCUAAAGACGGUACAAAUCAUCCAUCAAUUGCCCAAAGGGGAGUAAGUUGUAGUAAAGUAGAAUUAGGGGAACCUGUUUCUAGUAGUGA
This 699-nucleotide non-coding RNA is filed under the name Heterakis gallinarum. The record is from RNAcentral. Lineage: Eukaryota; Metazoa; Nematoda; Chromadorea; Rhabditida; Heterakidae.